UACGUAGGGUGCAAGCGUUGUCCGGAUUCAUUGGGCGUAAAGAGCUCGUAGGCGGCUUAGUAAGUCAGGUGUGAAACCUCCAGGCUCAACCUGGAGACGCCACUUGAUACUGCUAUGGCUUGAGUUUGGUAGGGGUAAGCGGAAUUCCUGGUGUAGCGGUGAAAUGCGCAGAUAUCAGGAGGAACACCGAUGGCGAAGGCAGCUUACUGGGCCAAAACUGACGCUGAGGAGCGAAAGCGUGGGGAGCGAACAGG
RNAcentral lists this ribosomal RNA (254 nucleotides) under uncultured bacterium. Its description in RNAcentral is "partial 16S ribosomal RNA". It matches the Rfam family "Bacterial small subunit ribosomal RNA", at positions 524 to 776 of the family's 1533-position model. The record is from RNAcentral.